This 94-nucleotide ribosomal RNA is filed under the name Pullulanibacillus pueri. The record is from RNAcentral. Lineage: Bacteria; Bacillati; Bacillota; Bacilli; Caryophanales; Sporolactobacillaceae.
UCACACCCGUUCCCAUCCCGAACACGGCCGUUAAGCUCUUCAGCGCCGAUGGUAAUUGGGGGCUUCCCCCUGUGAGAGUAGGACGUUGCCGGGC